CCUGCCCAAGAGAUCGGGAUAACACCUGGAAACAGAUGCUAAUACCGGAUAACAACAGAUGAUGCCUAUCAAUUGUUUAAAAGAUGGUUCUGCUAUCACUCUUGGAUGGACCUGCGGUGCAUUAGCUAGUUGGUAGGGUAACGGCCUACCAAGGCGAUGAUGCAUAGCCGAGUUGAGAGACUGAUCGGCCACAUUGGGACUGAGACACGGCCCAAACUCCUACGGGAGGCAGCAGCG
Molecule: ribosomal RNA, 237 nt
Filed under: uncultured Lactobacillus sp.
Lineage: Bacteria; Bacillati; Bacillota; Bacilli; Lactobacillales; Lactobacillaceae
Description: partial 16S ribosomal RNA
Rfam family: Bacterial small subunit ribosomal RNA
Source: RNAcentral